Molecule: ribosomal RNA, 301 nt
Filed under: uncultured bacterium
Lineage: Bacteria
Description: partial 16S ribosomal RNA
Rfam family: Bacterial small subunit ribosomal RNA
Source: RNAcentral
CAGCAGCCGCGGUAAUACGGAGGGGGCUAGCGUUGUUCGGAAUUACUGGGCGUAAAGCGCACGUAGGCGGCUUUGUAAGUUAGAGGUGAAAGCCUGGGGCUCAACCCCAGAAUUGCCUUUAAGACUGCAGAGCUAGUAUGUGAGAGAGGUGAGUGGAAUUCCGAGUGUAGAGGUGAAAUUCGUAGAUAUUCGGAAGAACACCAGUGGCGAAGGAGGCUCACUGGCUCAUUCUAGACGCUGAGGUGCGAAAGCGUGGGGGGCAAACAGGAUUAGAUACCCCUGUAGUCCCUGUCUCUUAUAA